UGGGGAAUUUUGGACNAUGGGCGCAAGCCUGAUCCAGCCAUGCCGCGUGUCUGAAGAAGGCCUUCGGGUUGUAAAGGACUUUUGUCAGGGAAGAAAAGGCUGUUGCUAAUAUCGACAGCUGAUGACGGUACCUGAAGAAUAAGCACCGGCUAACUACGUGCCAGCAGCCGCGGUAAUACGUAGGGUGCGAGCGUUAAUCGGAACUACUGGGCGUAAAGCGAGCGCAGACGGUUACUUAAGCAGGAUGUGAAAUCCCCGGGCUCAACCUGGGAACUGCGUUCUGAGCUGGGUGACUAGAGUGUGUCAGAGGGAGGUAGAAUUCCACGUGUAGCAGUGAAAUGCGUAGAGAUGUGGAGGAAUACCGAUGGCGAAGGCAGCCUCCUGGGAUAACACUGACGUUCAUGCUCGAAAGCGUGGGUAGCAAACAGGAUUAGAUACCCUGGUAGUCCACGCCCUAAACGAUGUCAAUUAGCUGUUGGGCAACUUGAUUGCUUAGUAGCGUAGCUAACGCGUGAAAUUGACCGCCUGGGGAGUACGGUCGCAAGAUUA
This 549-nucleotide ribosomal RNA is filed under the name uncultured bacterium. RNAcentral describes it as "bacterial SSU rRNA". It matches the Rfam family "Bacterial small subunit ribosomal RNA", at positions 355 to 896 of the family's 1533-position model. The record is from RNAcentral.